GAUGAACGCUGGCGGCGUGCCUAAUACAUGCAAGUCGAGCGAGCAGACGAGGAGCUUGCUCCUCUGACGUUAGCGGCGGACGGGUGAGUAACACGUGGAUAACCUACCUAUAAGACUGGGAUAACUUCGGGAAACCGGAGCUAAUACCGGAUAAUAUAUUGAACCGCAUGGUUCAAUAGUGAAAGACGGUUUUGCUGUCACUUAUAGAUGGAUCCGCGCCGCAUUAGCUAGUUGGUAAGGUAACGGCUUACCAAGGCAACGAUGAGUAGCCGACCUGAGAGGGUGAUCGGCCACACUGGAACUGAGACACGGUCCAGACUCCUACGGGAGGCAGCAGUAGGGAAUCUUCCGCAAUGGGCGAAAGCCUGACGGAGCAACGCCGCGUGAGUGAUGAAGGUCUUCGGAUCGUAAAACUCUGUUAUUAGGGAAGAACAAAUGUGUAAGUAACUAUGCACGUCUUGACGGUACCUAAUCAGAAAGCCACGGCUAACUACGUG
RNAcentral lists this ribosomal RNA (497 nucleotides) under uncultured bacterium. RNAcentral's name for it is "partial 16S ribosomal RNA". It matches the Rfam family "Bacterial small subunit ribosomal RNA", at positions 28 to 507 of the family's 1533-position model. The record is from RNAcentral.